RNAcentral lists this ribosomal RNA (802 nucleotides) under uncultured bacterium. Its description in RNAcentral is "bacterial SSU rRNA". It matches the Rfam family "Bacterial small subunit ribosomal RNA", at positions 8 to 808 of the family's 1533-position model. The record is from RNAcentral.
AGAGUUUGAUCCUGGCUCAGGAUGAACGCUGGCGGCGUGCUUAACACAUGCAAGUCAAACGAAGCACCUUGAUUUGAUUCUUCGGAUGAAGAUCUUGGUGACUGAGUGGCGGACGGGUGAGUAACGCGUGGGUAACCUGCCUCAUACAGGGGGAUAACAGUUAGAAAAUGACUGCUAAUACCGCAUAAGACCACAGCACCGCAUGGUGCAGGGGUAAAAACUCCGGUGGUAUGAGAUGGGACCCGCGUCUGAUUAGGUAGUUGGUGGGGUAACGGCCUACCAAGCCGACGAUCAGUAGCCGACCUGAGAGGGUGACCGGCCACAUUGGGACUGAGACACGGCCCAAACUCCUACGGGAGGCAGCAGUGGGGAAUAUUGCACAAUGGGGGAAACCCUGAUGCAGCGACGCCGCGUGAGCGAUGAAGUAUUUCGGUAUGUAAAGCUCUAUCAGCAGGGAAGAAAAUGACGGUACCUGACUAAGAAGCACCGGCUAAAUGCGUGCCAGCAGCCGCGGUAAUACGUAUGGUGCAAGCGUUAUCCGGAUUUACUGGGUGUAAAGGGAGCGUAGACGGAGUGGCAAGUCUGAUGUGAAAACCCGGGGCUCAACCCCGGGACUGCAUUGGAAACUGUCAUACUUGAGUGCCGGAGGGGUAAGCGGAAUUCCUAGUGUAGCGGUGAAAUGCGUAGAUAUUAGGAGGAACACCAGUGGCGAAGGCGGCUUACUGGACGGUAACUGACGUUGAGGCUCGAAAGCGUGGGGAGCAAACAAGAUUAGAUACCAUGGUAGUCCACGCCGUAAACG